Long non-coding RNA from Mesocricetus auratus (golden hamster), 10926 nucleotides. RefSeq lists it as uncharacterized. The record is from RefSeq and is a predicted model, not a curated record. NCBI's taxonomy places the organism in Eukaryota, Metazoa, Chordata, Mammalia, Rodentia, Cricetidae. The transcript is spliced from 2 exons.
GAGAGAGAGAGAGAGAGAGAGAGAGAGAAGAAAGAGGCCAGUGUGGGCUACAUGAAACCCUAUCUCAAAUAAAUAGUAUACAAUCAAUUGAACUAUCAGUGUUAAGCUGCUGCUGAUGGAAGGGAACCAGGGGUCCCAUCCAUUGGCCAGCUAGGUGGGACUGCCUGGGCUGUUCAGAUUGAUGCAUGCAGUGGUCAAGACUAUGAAGACCACCCUCCCUUGAUCACAGGUCUGCAUGGUGUUUUGGUGUCUUCUGCCCUUGUGAUUCCUAAGACUUGGGAUCCCCUAGUGAGACUCUCCCAGUCUUGGAUGAGUUUGUUUUCAUCACCUAAGGUUCUCAGUUAUCCAGAUGUCACAUAAGGGACCUCCAACAAGGCCUAGCAAAAAUAGCCUGUCCUCUGAUCAUAUCGUCCCUUUCACACAGAGUGCCACUUCCCUGGAUAGAUAAAAUUUACUACCUAAGUCUCAAAACCCAUAGCUCCAUUAUUUUGUUUGUUUUUGUUGUUUGUUUUGUUUUAAAAGUUUAUUUUAUGUGUAGAACUGUUUUGCCUACAUGUAUGUAAGUGCACCAUAUGUGUACCUGGUACCCAUGGAGGCCAAAAGAUAGGAUCCCUUGGAACUAGAGUUACAGACAAUUGUGAGAUGCCAUCUGGUUGUCAGGAACUGAACCCAGGUCAGCCACUGCUCUUAACUGCUGAACCAUCACUCCAACUCCUGUACUGUUUCAAUCAAGAUUAGCUAGGCAAAGUCCCCAUCCUGAUUUCCCCAGUGAGAACGCUUCUUCACUGACUUCUGGGAGUUACCUGCACUCACCAGGUCUGUCUCCCCAUGUGCAGAGGGAGGCAGCAGAACUAGAUUAUCCCGAGUUCCUUUUCAGUGCUAGCAUCACAUCUUCAGGUGCCCCAAGGUGUGACAGUGCUGAUGGGGAAUGGAGACCCCAGACUUCAUUAACUCCACAUUUUGGAGCAUGGAGGGAAUCAAGAUGGCUGUAACCCAAGAACUUGCCAGGAACUGGCUGAGAUGAUUCUGCUGCUUGUGGUGAAAUGUCUUGGCAGACCACUCAGGUAGGUCGGUACAGGUGAGGGAGAGGGUGGGGUUGACAACUCUGUGGCCCCUGAGUAACGUUUCCUUGCAGGAUUGGAUGCCUACAUAUUGGUGGAUACCAACUAGAUGGGUCCAUCUAUAUUGGCAAAGUAGGUGAGCCGUCACUCCACACACUCACUUGGCAGAGUUUCAAUGGAUUUCUCACCUUGAAAUACUGUCCUGUUUUCAUUGUUAUUGUUUCCAGUAAGACCUUCCUGUAAUCCUCUGGUUCUCUGCCCAGGUGGCACAUUCUUUGAGAACAUACCUCCAGACGCCGUCGUCGUCGGUCAGAAAUAGCUGACCUCAUAGCUGGAGCAAGAGAAGACUUGUCCAAAGCCAACGUUCCAAUUGUUGAUCUGUUGUUUGGUACAAGAAAAGCUGUAUUCUAAACCCACCUCAGAGCAUACAACUCAGGUGACUAGGUUGAUAAGCUUGCUAUGUAAGCAUUAGGACCUGAGCUCAAUCCCCAGCUCUGUAUAAAAGACAAAGAUAGAUAUUAGCAGCACACACUGAAUGACUAGAGAGGAUCAGUUAGGUUUGCUGAGCUCAGUCUAGCAAAUUUUGAGCUCCAGCCAAAAGAUCCCAUCUCAGAAAAUGAAGUGGAAAGUGAUGAAGACAUCUGAUGUCAACCUGUGGCUUGACACACACAUGCUCAUGGACACACAUAAGCGUCUACUACAUAUGCAAGUGUACUUUCACAAAGGUGCAGACAGAGUCAUAGGAACCAAGCCCAACUGAUCUGUGACUAGCAUUCCAUGCGCCCUGCCGAGGAGACUGAGAAGGUGCCAUUGGAAGAACCACAACAGCACAUAGGUUUCAGAAACCAGCAAAGAGUUUGCUGCAUCGCUCUGAGAACAGGGCAGAAGUCCCCCAGCGUGGGGACAAUCAGCUCCUAAUCUGGCUGAGAGGAGGGACAAAGGGGCUGGAGGGGCUACAGAGCCAGGAAGACACCCAUGCUUACCAGCCUCACCAGGAAAGGGAAGGCUGGGCCAGCCGGCCUGCAGAGUGGGGGACAGACAGCAAAGGGCCCCAAAGCAGUGGGAUUAAGUGUUGAGGUGAGGGGAUUAGUUGUGUUGGUGGAAGGAGCAAUUCAAUCGUGUUCCUUUUUGCAGGGAACCUGAUCUCCAUGUUCUCAGGGAGCCUUCAUCUGCCCUGUGGGUCCUAACUGCAGCUCUAAUUAGCUGUGACUGCUUCUUGUCUGGUGGCUGGGGUCGUGUCUUAGCAUUCUUUAUAGCUCUGGGCACCUAGCAACAGGCAGCUGUCGAGGUAGGGGCAGAAUAAUCAUUGUCUGUCUCAAUUCCAGUGUCUCAAAUGGAGAUUCAGAUAUAUUCUUCUUCUCAGAAAGAUUUCUGUUAUACAGGAAAUGAGCAUAGCAGUCAUGGUUUCUCUAUCUAGAUCUCAGAAUGCUCCCUGGCCUCAGUGUGAGCUCAACCCCUCAUAGUGUAUGCCACGGGGUCAUGGCCACUGUUUAUCUAUGGUUACAGCCCCUCAGCCUGCAUGUAGUAAGGCAGCCUUUCUUAGGGAAGGAAACAGCAAAACAAAAAUAAAUGUUAAGAAGUACAGGGGAUGGUGAUGAAGGCACAGUCUUGAGUUCUUUGGUCUCUCCUAGACAGCAUAUACUGAACUGUAACUAUUUCUUCCAGACAUGCACAGAAGUCAAGGUCAGGUGAGCCAUGGUUUAACUGCCUGAGCAUGAGACUCAUGCCAUGCCUUAUGGGACUGGGUAGUGUGUCUCCUGCGUAGUAGAGCAACCCAGGUUCCACCUCAGCUACGUGAGAAUUCCUACCAGGAGGUCUCAUAGGUGUUAGAACUGUGUGAGGAGUGAGGGAUGCUAGAAAUCCACAGAUCCCCGUCUCCUUUAAGCAUCUGGCCUCUCCAGAGGAAGGAGACUGUAUGGGAGACAGCUCUCAACUAGACCAGUAGGGCUAUAGAGGAAUGGAUUAGUAGAACCUCAUGGUAGAUAGAAAUCAGAAGUACUUAGAAUGGUUGGCUGUUAAGAGGUCAGGCUGGGACUGGAGAGGUGGUUCCAUGGUUAAGAACUCAUACUCUUGCAGAGUACCCAAGUUUCUUUCCUAGUACCCAUGCCAUGCUGGUCUUCUGACCUCUUCAGGCUCCUGCACUACACACAUACACAUAGACUCUGGCAUGCACUUACAUAUGUGUGCACAGACACUUACUAAGUCAGGCCUGGAGUAGCCCUGGUGUCUUGAGUGCAGCCCUGAUGGGUGGCAAGCUUCUGGAUUGGGGAAACACGGUAUUGUAAGACAGUCAGAGACAUAAAAGUAGCUCACAUGUGACCAGGGUACACAGACAGGUGUGGGCCUGGCAGACACCUGAGUCCUAGGUUGUGGGCUGAAGAAAAGCACAAUGGGCCUGGAGUCAUUGCCACUCUGUAAUGGGGACCCAAAGAAAACGACUGUUAGGAAGCAUGUGGAGAAGAAGCGCAGGCCUGGGUCGGGACCAGGGCUAGGAACAUUCAAGGAGCUGAUGGAGGUGGCAGAAAAGGAAAGACCUGGGAGAUGCUACAAACAACUAGGAGAGGGAGUUGCCAUGGCAACCAAGGUAGUAAGGAGUUUCAAGGAGAAAGUAAUCAACAUUGUCAAAUGUGGCAGUGAAUUCCAAUCAGAUGAAGACAGAAAUUUCCUCUUUGGCUUUCAGGAUUAGCUGGCCUUAAGAGCUUUUGGAAGUCGGGCAGUGGUGGCACACGCCUUUAAUCCCAGCACUCAGGAGACAGAGUUGUAGGAAUAUAAAGGAGAGUGAUGCUGACAUCAAGGGGGGCACGAGACUCACUAAGUCCUUUAAGGAGUCAGAAAGGAAGAGUUGGAGAGGGUGAGCUAGGAAGGAUGAGCACAUUGUUCACUAACUAGUAUAGACAGCCACACCUCCCGUGUGCCUCUGCUGUGCACCCAGCAGGGUGCCUAACACUGUGGGCUCUUUGGGGCAACAGAGCAGUUGGGGCUUCUGGAGCAGUAGAGGAGAAAGACAGACUCAGUCGUGCUUUUCAGUGUACAGGGCCCCAUACUGACGGGGCUCUGAUAGAAACAUCCUCCAGACUGAAAAUUCUGGGUCACAGGUAACCCUGUGCCAGAGGCCUACUCCAGGAAGGACAGAAGCAGAGUCUAGAGGCAGACGGUGAGGAGCUGGAGGAAAGAAAGGAACAAACAGAGCCCUGACCUUUUUCAUAUUAACCUUGAAGGAAAGAGCAGUGCUGCUGUGUGGAUAUUCUGGGCUGUGGAGCCAGAGUAAUUGAACAAUUAGGGAUGGAGACAAUUAUGUGAAAUAAGCUCCCAAAGGGGCUGGGAUCAAGUGCAGAGGAAGACAAAUUAGUUUGGGGCAAUAAUGUGUAUAUGACCAAAUGUGGGUAAAACUCAAUUAUUUACCUUUUAGAGAGCAACAUGAUCCCAUGUUCUUUUGGGAGCUUUUAUCUGCCCUAUAUCCUACCUGCAUGCCUAAUUAGCACCAGUUUGAUCUUGUUUUGUGGCUGGGACCAUGUCUUAAUAUUUUGUGUGCAAUAGACUGAACUGUUUAUAGGUGCCAAGCCAGUAUCUUCUGCCUUGGACUGGAAUUACAAAAAUCAACACAUAUUCUUGCUUCAACCAAAAAGUAUGACUGUUGCAGCACAAUAAAGGGGAAUUGGAGCAGUUAAAUGUAGGGAGGCAGACAUUUGGGUGACUGGGUGGAGACAAAGUAGAGUCUGCCUCACACACCCUCAUGAGUUCUAGGUUCACACCCCCACCUCACAUGAACUUCCUCUCCCCAACAAGAUGGUGCUCUGUGUUAUCUCCAGGAGGGAAUGAGAAGACACACCUGAUCAUGCCAGCACCACACUAGCGACAAGAAUUACUGUAGACUUCCAGCCAACGUGGUAGGACCAGUCUAAGGGACUAAGAGCAGAGAAAAGAAGACAGCAGGCUGGGAAGUUGAGGCUGGCAGCCCCAAGCAGUAGAUAUAAGAAAGCUGGUCUCUCUGGAGCCCUGGCCACUCUGAACGUGACCCGGGGUCCCAUCUCACUGUCUAGUGUGCUCUAGAGAGCAGGCCCUCCCCAGUGGCAGGCAGACCCCAGUGUCAUUGCUGUGCUUCGUGCUCAUUUUUACAUGUGAUGUGACAGAUGGAGUGGGGCAGACAGGAAGCUUGCUGAACACCUCUCCCCACAGCCCUGCCUGACUUCCCUCCUGGAUCCUGUGAUAGCCUCUUCACGCUGCUCAUCUCUUGUGUGAUUCUGUGAGCCAAGGCUGUGUUUUAAUGAGCAAAGCUUUGAAUAGUGUCUCAGUACCUGAUACGGCAGGUGAUGUCCACAUUGGAAGUGCUUCUGAGCUGUGUGCCCUACAGGAUUCGCCUCAAGUGGCCGUCUGCACCUCCAUUCACUCCAGUGCUCCGCUCAGCUGGCCACACACAAAGCAGAUCACCUUCUGUUUAGUUGUUUCCUGCUGAUUGACUGGAAAAUGCCUUUGGUGGCGUUCACACAAACACUGAGGGCACCCACCCUUGCCUUAGUCUCCUUUUUCCCACAUACAAGUAUUUCUGGAGGACAAGUACUUGGAACUGUUGGGCCAUACGAAGACACACUCUGAAUUCACAUAAAAACAGCCACAGUCUUCUCCAAAGUACCCGGUUCGAUCUCCUGCCAGAACGCCUCCACCUUUAACAUCUUCACCAAUUGGAUGGGUUCAGAUACUGUCAUGGGUUAACAUUCCCUGUGCUGUGCCACAGCCGAAGCCUCUGUUUACCUCUGGACUGUAUACCCAAGUCCUUCUUGCUCCUCUCCCUCUGCCUGCCUGCCUGCCUCCCUCUCUCUCCCUUCCUUUCCUUCCCUCCCUCCGUCCCAUCUUUCUCCCUGUCUCCCUUUCUUCCAUUGUCUCACUGUGGAUUCCUUUCUAGCCUCAAACUCGGAAUCCUCCAGUCUCAGUCUGCUGAGUACUGGGAUUAUAGCUAUGAUGUCACUUCCUGCCCAUUUCUUGUCUUUCUUUUUUAAAGAUAUUUCAUCUUUCAUUGGUUUUUGGUUCUUCAUCUACUUCAUGCUUUUAUAUACUAAUGCUUUGUUGUUAAUGACAUUUUUCUACAUUGUGAUUCUUUUGACAUUUAGUUGAAUUGCUUUUAGAAAAAUUUAAGUUUUGAUAUAGUCAUCUGUUGGUUUUACUUUUACACUUUCUUUUGGCAAUCCUAAAAAACCUUUAUCAGGGCAGUGAUGGCAUAUGCCUUUAACCCCAGUACUUGGGAGGCAGAGGCAGCCACAUCUCUGAGAGUUCAAGGCUAGCCUGGCCUAUAAAGCCUAGGAUAGCCAAAGCUGCACAAAGAAACCCUGUCUAAAGAACAAAAAAGAACAAGUCUUCUUUAUAUUAAAUUCAAGGCAUUUUUACUGUAUUUUCUUCUCUGGCAUUUAUAGUUAACAUAUAUAUUUAUGUUUAUAUAUAAUUUUUAAAUUAUAUUUUGUUAUGUAUAAAGAAUAAAUUCCAUAUGCAUGAUUCUUAUUGUCUAAUGUCACCACCCUACUAUUUUGUGGAAUGUAGACGGUGUCAUCUAAGCCUGCUCCCUUUACCUAGCGCCACCCCACCACACUGUGUGAGUGUACCCCACCACACUGUGGGAGUGCACCCCACCACACUGUGGGAGUGCACCCCACCACACUAUAAGACCUUCCCUGGUCUGAGGUGUCUGUCUCCUCCCAGGCUGCUGCUGAGCUGUGAUAAGAGCAGAACCAACUCCUUCUCUGAUGUGCAGAAUUGCUUUGGUCAUCCUUGUACGUUAGUCCUACCAUAUGAAUUUUAAAAUAUAUCAAUUUUCAAGAGAAUUUUUGCUGGGAAAUUUUAUUGGAGUUAUACUGAAUUCACGGACAAAUCUAAGAGAAAUCAGCCUCUCUUUCCCAAGUGCUCAUGGUACCCUCCCAGCCCAGGGCAUCUUGUCCCUCUGGAGGAGAUGGCUGCUUUCUCUGGGUCAUCCUGCAUUUUGUUUCUUGGUGGAUUUCACCCUCAGCCCUUUGACAGGGUUUUCCGGCAGCUCUGGAUGGCGGGUCCCCUGUGCUUCUGUUUGCCUGACCCGUGGUCCACAUCUCAGCCUUGCACUAAUCAGGGAGCUUGCUCUGCAGACACACACAGUAAACGUUCUUCCUCCCUGGGCACAAACGCACGAGCACCGCCGAACACAGAGCCGGUAUAAUUGGCCGAAAACAAAUUAGAAUCGUUCCAAAUUACACUUUAAUUAAGCAAGCAAAGCAUGAAUACAUUCUCCCAUUUAGAGGUGGGACAGCGUGGACCCAACUGCUGUGUCUGCCACCUGAGAUUGAGGCCUCUCCUCCAGGAAGCCUCUGUUGAGAGCUUCAGGGAUUUCUUUUCAGAGUAGCACACAUCUUAGCAAUGGUGAGGGUAUCCAGAACAAAUGUAGCCCGGUCAUGGGUGUUACACGGUACUCUUCUCAUUUACUGCCUACCUGGGUCAUACUUGUCUGUGUUCUGUUUUCCCUUCCAAACAUCACCCUGAAGUUAGUUUUCCCUCAUUCAGGAAGAGCACAGCAGAGAACACCAAUGCACAGGUUCUAGAAACAUUCUCCAGGACCUAGGCUGGCCACUGUCUAUGAAUUUUGAAGCAAGAUUUCAUGUAGCCCAGGCUAGUCUCAAACUCACUGUGUAACCAAGGUUGACCUUCAACUCAAGGGUUAGAACUGCAGGCCCUCAUGUCCAGCCAAACUUAGCCUCUUACCUUGCCUUCUGAAGGCCUCCCCGUCACCAGCCUCUCAAAUAUUUUCUGACUUUUUUCCUCUGAAAAUUUCCUGCUGCUUUUCUUACAUUUGCAUCAUACUGUUUUCUAGCUCUCACAUUUGACACGUGACCGCAGGCGAGGCUCAUUAGAGUGUGGCAUCGGUGCUUAGUUUUGAUACACUUCAAAAUGGAUGACUAAGUUUUCCAAUACAACUUAUUGGCGUGCUGUCAUUUCCUCUGGUGAUUUUGGUUUAUUCCCUUUGUUCGACACAGCUCCCAGCUGUGUCCAACACAGGCUCUUUCUCUCCAGUCAUCCAUGUGCUCCCUACAGUUGCUUUGAUAACAGUGAAAGCAAUCCACUCUCUUGUUUUGUGGCAUCGUCUUGGUCUUGUAUAUUGUUACAACAGUUUACAUUUUUGAACCAGUUGGUCAAGCUUUAAAACCUUGCUGGGAGUUUUAGGGAAUCUGUGGCUAAAUCUGAGAGAAAUGGACAUCUUUAUCCUGUAGCACAUACAGUGCUCCCAGUCCAGUCAUUUUCCUGCCUUUUAGAAGUUUGGUGUUUUCCUCUGGUGACAGUCUUGCCGACUUCAUAUUUAUUCUUGGGUCCUCAAGGUUUUGCUAGCAGCCCCCUGCUUCUGUUUGCCUGACCCGUGGUCCCCAUCUCAGCCUUGCACUAAUCAGGGAGCUUGCUCUGCAGACACACACAGUAAACGUUCUUCCUCCCUGGGCACAAACGCACGAGCACGCCGAACACAGAGCCGGUAUAAUUGGCCGAAAACAAAUUAGAAUCGUUCCAAAUUGCACUUUAAUUAAACAAGCAAAGCAUGAAUACAUUGUUCCAUUUAGAGGUGGAAUUACAUGAACCCAGCUGCUGUCACCUCUACCAAAGUCCUGUACCCCAUCCCCUCCAGAGCUCUGUGUGUCUGCUUCUGUGUGUGUGUGUGAAAUCCAUGCUGGUGCAAGCUUGCCGGAGGCUGCAUCUUGACUCACUGUAGAAUCUUUACAGCACAGCCAUGCUGAUUCCUAAAGCUCAUGUCCUUUAACACAGCAGAACACUGGUUCCCUCCGUUCUCGUUCUCCGUCUCCAGGCUCCACCAAUAUUUAGUCGGUUCUUUGUCUCUACUCUGUUGUGAGCAGCCUUCUAACUUGGCAAUGAUGAAGAGGUAGGAUGCUGGGUCUGCACAUUUUCAGUUUUAGCAGACUUCACUGGUGCCCUCCAUGGUUUCUUUACCAUGCAAGCAUCUAGCCAGAGGCUGACUUUAAUCCCCACACCAUGAGCAGUUCUCAGUGUUUGCCAAUAGGAUAACUGAAAAAGAUAAAUCCCUUUUUAAAUUUGUAUUUUGCUGUUUGCCAGAAAGUUUUUCUUGUGUACAUUGAGUGUUUGUAUUAUUCCCACUGCCUGUUUUUGCAUUAGGCUCUUCAUUGACCUGUAGAACAUCCCGGUGUAAUCUGGAUAGUAUAUUUUUGUGCCUUUUGGACAAAUAUUUUUUCUGGCUCUCAGCUCUUUGUAGAAUCCUGUGUUAGACAGAAGUUACCAAUUUUGAUCUAAUACAUUUCCCCAAUCUCCUUUAUUCCUUUUUUAAUAUAUUUCAUGUUUGGUUUAGAUGGAACCUUUAUUGUUUCCUAAUGGUUUCACAGUUUUUGUUCUUGGCUCUUUCUUGCAUCUGGAAUAUAUUUCUCUGAUUGAAUUGAGACAGCAUCUAACCUUUCUCAAAACGGACAGCCAAUUAUCAGAACACAAUAGAAUGGAUCGGCUCCUCAUCCUUUCUCUGCCACUCUGAAGUGUCCUUCCUCUAGACUGAGGCCCCAUUGCUAUGCGGUUUCAAGGCCCCUGGCUUUUUUUGUUUUUGUUUUUGUUUUUGUUUUUGUUUUUGUUUUUUAACUAAUUUGUUUAUUCCUGUCAGCACCAGACUUUAAUUUGCCAUUGCUUUUUACCACCUUUUGAUAUACAGCCCAGCUUGCUCCUCCACACAGGUUUUUAAGCUGCUUGUCAAAUACUGUGGAUUCAGAGAUUAAUUCGGGGGAAGCUGACAUCAGUACAAUACUCUGCCAUUCACUGCAGGAGCCAGGCAGAACUCUGUUUGUCUGUCACAUCUUCCACACACCCAGGUUUCUGCUAAGAAACUUGUGGCUUCCCUCAUGGAUUUAGUUCUUUGGUUUCCAUUAUUGUUGUGAAUGAGUUUUCACUGCCCCCUCUCCUGUUUUGUUUGGCUUUUGUUUGCUACAUUUCUUUUUAAUCUACUUUCUAAUCGCUGCACUUCAUUCACAGACACACACAAAGUAAACGUUCUUCCUCCCUGGGCACAAACACGCAAGCACAGUUGAGCACAGAGCCGGCGUAAUUGGCUGAAAAUGAAUGGGAAUUUUUUCAAAUUAAAGUUUAAUGACACAAGCGAAACCUGAAUACAUCCUUCUUUUUAAGAGCCAGAGCACCGCUGCUGCAGCUGGAGUCCCUUCUGGCCACCUGCUUCCAUCCCAUUCUUCUUCCCCUUCCCCAGUGGGAGCCACUGUGAUGGGCUUGGUGUGUCCUUUUUUGGACCUUUCUAAAAACUCGUAAAUAUGUAUCUACACACCCACAGGAGAUACAGAAUUUUACCAUCCAUACGCAGUUUUUACCCUGGGUGAACAUUAUUAAGGCUGCAGAAUGUAAUGUCAGUAUUGUCACACACCCUAAUGUGGCAGUGGGGGAAGGAGGCAGCUGCAGGGAAGACUGAGCAGCUGCGGACACAUGGUGGACGGAGGAAGGAAGGGGCAGAUAGGUUCCAUCCAGUCGGAUAACCAAAAUCGAACUUUAAACCCUGCUGUUGGCAUGGGGCUGUCAGGGAGUACUUUCCAAAGGCCCGAAGCUUAGUCUGUGGGACAUAAGAGGUCUUAGAGAUAAGAAAAAGAUAUAGCAGAUGCAGUUCUGAGACCUCCUGCGAGCCCAUUUCAGUGUCACGGGACUUAGAAGGGCGGCUUCAGGGCCCCGCUGGUGGCUUUCCUGGCCUUCCCCUCCCCUCUCUGUCUAGGUGCUGCUGGGUGAAAACAUAAAACUUGGAACUCUGACAGCCAUCCUGCCAUGAGGAGGGGACGAGACUGCUGAGACUGGGCCGGCGUUCCUGCGACCACUGACUUGUGGAUUGUUCACACUUGAAUAAAUGUUCUUGCUGCUA